GUGUGUUGAUGUGUGAGUGUCUCUGUGUCUGGGGUGGGACUUGGAGCACUUCCUGGGUGGAAGGAGGCUUCUUCCAUCCAAGUACCUGCAGGUUACCAGCUGGAAGGGCAGACAGAAGCAAAACACUGAACCCAUGUCAAGAAAAGACUCCAGUGAUUGGGGACAUGUUGAAGUGCCUGCACCGUUGUCUUGGGAAAGAACACACAACUACCUUUCCUUCCUUAAGGGCAAGAUGUGAAGUUCCUCAAGAACCAGCAGCAAGGCAGGUGGCGUCCGGGGCUCCCUCCAGCCGGCUGCUCACUAGCCCUGUGGAACAUGGGCAGGAGAGGCAAAGGGAAGCAGAGUCCCCCAGCACUGGCCUCUACACAUGUCACCAGGAGACUCUCUGUCCCCACUCAGACACAGGGACAUAGAGUCGGAGCACUGAAGCCAAAACCUCAGCCUUGUGUGCCUACCAACUGAACUCCACCCCACAGAGACUAUCAAAUACUCAAAACAGACUCGGGCAGGGCCCUAUCUGCUAGCCUAGUUCUGUGAAAUGCUACAGCUCUGGCUUUCCCAGCGGUGAAUGCAGAGAAGGAGGCAGCUUCAGCAGUCAGUCAGGUGAGUGGCAGCUGACCACACACUAUGACUGACCAAGGGCCUCUCUCAAGGGCCCCGAGUCCAGGAACCUGCCAGCUGCCUGAACUUCUGCAAGCCCCUCAACUCUUGCAGGGUCUUCAUCUUAAUCUUCCAGAGGAUUUGGAAUCUCAAAAUAUUCAGAUUUGGGGUUGUCUUAGUUCACAUUUCUAUUGCUGUGAAGAGACACCAUGACCAUGGCAACUCUUAAAAAGGAAAACAUUUAAUUGGGUCUGGUUUACAGUUCAGAGGUUUAAUACAGUGUCCUCAUGGCAGGAAACAUUGCAGCAUGCAGGCGUUCGUGCUGGAGAGGUAGCUGGGAGUUCUACAUCCACAAGAAGAGAAUUGACACACUGCACGGCUUGAACAUCUGAGACCUCAAAGCUCAACCUCAGUAACCCACUUUUUCCAACAAAGCCACAUCUACUCUAACAAGGCAUAUGUAGCUGAUGGGCAGCCUGGUCUUCAUGUGGGUCUCCUUGCAAGUGGAACAGGGGCUAUCUCUGAUGUGGACUCUGUUGCCUGUUUUUGGGUAUCUUUUUCCUAGCUGGGCUGCCUUGUCUGGUCUCAAGGGAAGAAGAUGAACUUAGUCCUGAUAUGAUUUCAUGUGCUGGGAUGGGUUGAUACAGGGGUUUUCUCCUUUUCUGAGGAGAAGGGGAGUGGGGAAAUGGAGGAACAGGGUAGAAGGAUAGGACUGGGAGGAGAGGAAGGAGGAGACUAUG
This is a long non-coding RNA of Meriones unguiculatus (Mongolian gerbil), 1340 nucleotides long. RefSeq lists it as uncharacterized. Lineage: Eukaryota; Metazoa; Chordata; Mammalia; Rodentia; Muridae. The transcript has 4 exons. The record is from RefSeq and is a predicted model, not a curated record.